GAGGAAUAUUGGUCAAUGGGCGGAAGCCUGAACCAGCCAAGUAGCGUGCAGGACGACGGCCCUAUGGGUUGUAAACUGCUUUUAUGCGGGGAUAAAGUGAGGGACGUGUCCCUUUUUGCAGGUACCGCAUGAAUAAGGACCGGCUAAUUCCGUGCCAGCAGCCGCGGUAAUACGGAAGGUCCGGGCGUUAUCCGGAUUUAUUGGGUUUAAAGGGAGCGUAGGCCGGGGAUUAAGUGUGUUGUGAAAUGUAGGCGCCCAACGUCUGACUUGCAGCGCAUACUGGUUCCCUUGAGUACGCGCAACGCCGGCGGAAUUCGUCGUGUAGCGGUGAAAUGCUUAGAUAUGACGAAGAACCCCGAUUGCGAAGGCAGCCGGCGGGAGCGCAACUGACGCUGAAGCUCGAAGGUGCGGGUAUCGAACAGGAUUAGAUACCCUGGUAGUCCGCACGGUAAACGAUGGAUGCCCGCUGUCGGCGCCUUGCGCCGGCGGCCAAGCGAAAGCGUUAAGCAUCCCACCUGGGGAGUACGCCGGCAACGGUG
This 539-nucleotide ribosomal RNA is filed under the name uncultured bacterium. Its description in RNAcentral is "bacterial SSU rRNA". It matches the Rfam family "Bacterial small subunit ribosomal RNA", at positions 356 to 896 of the family's 1533-position model. The record is from RNAcentral.